Molecule: non-coding RNA, 113 nt
Organism: Acanthosepion pharaonis
Lineage: Eukaryota; Metazoa; Mollusca; Cephalopoda; Sepiida; Sepiidae
Source: the annotation of a GenBank genome assembly
UAUGGUCACACUAUGUUGAAACAUUGGUUCCUGUAUGAUCACCGAAGAUAAGCAAUGUCGAGCCUGCUCAGUACUUAGAUGGGUAACUACUUAGGAAUACCAAGGGACCGUAA